This 468-nucleotide ribosomal RNA is filed under the name uncultured bacterium. RNAcentral's name for it is "partial 16S ribosomal RNA". It matches the Rfam family "Bacterial small subunit ribosomal RNA", at positions 28 to 507 of the family's 1533-position model. The record is from RNAcentral.
GACGAACGCUGGCGGCGUGCUUAACACAUGCAAGUCGAACGGAAAGGCCCUGCUUUUGUGGGGUGCUCGAGUGGCGAACGGGAGAGUAACACGUGAGUAACCUGCCCUUGACUUUGGGAUAACUUCAGGAAACUGGGGCUAAUACCGGAUAGGAGCUCCUGCUGCAUGGUGGGGGUUGGAAAGUUUCGGCGGUUGGGGCUGGUCUCGCGGCUUAUCAGCUUGUUGGUGGGGUAGUUGCUUACCAAGGCUUUGACGGGUAGCCGGCCUGGGAGGGUGACCGGGCACCAUGGGACUGAGAUACGGCCCAGACGCGUACGGGAGGCAGCGGUGGGGAGUAUUGCAGAGUGGGCGGAAGCGUGAUGUAGCAACGCCGCGUGCGGGAUGACGGCCUUCGGGUUGUAAACCGCUUUCGCCUGAGACGAAGCGUGAGUGACGGUAAUGGGUCAAGAAGCACCGGCUAACUACGUG